AGCGCCGGGACUGUGAGAUGGCCAAUGACGGUCUGACCCGUUGGGCCGGGCCAGGUCGCGGACAACGUCGACCGUUUGUUUAAGAAGCGUGGACUCUUGUCCUGAGUGCACCGAGGCUUUCAGCCUGCGGGACAGUGGUGCGAUUUGCAUUAGAGAAAGGGAGAUGCCAUGUGCUGGCCCAGCACUCCAACAGGGGCCUGACCUCUAGGAACGGGACACUGGAGGAAGCCUAGACAUCUGAACAAAUCAAGUCAUCCAGAUCCACGGUCAGCUCCUGCCCCGACUUGGCCUUCCUCCUGCUGGGCUGGCCCACGGACCUCGGGAACCUGCCCUGGCUGUGGGUGACCUGCAGCCUAUCUCCCAGGACUAUGGAAGCCCCAUGCAGGAACAUGGUUCUGACACUUUGGGGAUUAUACCCUAAGCUUAAAGGACUGGAAAAGCCCCUGAAGUCCCGAGACCACAACCCUCCACCUUCUAAAGAUAAGACAAGUCACUGAAGGUAAAAUCAGCUCCUCAGUGUCUCCAAGGACAGGAAUGCCAUGGGCUGGGAGGCGCCAUGGGUGAACAGACUUCCCUACUUCCUGCCUCCCCAAGGGUGGGGAGCAGUCUAGGGGAUGGCUGUACUCCUGGGCCCAGUGUCUAAGUGAAAAUUAGGAGGAAAUGGAGGGAGGGUGGCGAGCGAGGACAGACUGGCCAAGGUCCCCCGCAGCCACUCCUGAAGUCCUCACGAGGGAGAAGCAGCCUCUCCUUCCAGCCUUCCCC
RNAcentral lists this long non-coding RNA (762 nucleotides) under Homo sapiens (human). Its description in RNAcentral is "HSALNT0382596". The record is from RNAcentral. Lineage: Eukaryota; Metazoa; Chordata; Mammalia; Primates; Hominidae.